This is a non-coding RNA of Gasterosteus aculeatus aculeatus (three-spined stickleback), 1858 nucleotides long. The record is from RefSeq and is a predicted model, not a curated record. Lineage: Eukaryota; Metazoa; Chordata; Actinopteri; Perciformes; Gasterosteidae.
AGACAGAUUAACAGGUUGCUACUUGGUUAAAUCGUGUCCUUGACUCGACUCUCGCUCUGCUGGCAAAUAAUUAGCUGCAAACAGAAUAAAACUCCCCACCGAAGUUAACCAAAUCCGCAUGAGGGGUUCAUUCAUUUGUUACAGAGAACAUGAGAGCUCACAGCGAGAUAACAUGGGGGACAGAAGGUCACUGGAGCAGGAAGCACUGUCCCAGUCAUCAGCUGAUUGUGCGCGGUGGCAGCAUGAAUCACCACGUCGGAGCCUCUGCGGCACAGAAUCGGGCAUCAGUGUCAACAGUGUGUCUCGACGACAGAAAGCAUGAAGCUCUUAAUGUGCUCUGGCUCCGUCCAUCAAAGAGAGAUAAUUGGAGAUUGACGCGAGAUGGCGGUGCGGUGGGUUUGGGUCGCGUUGCCCUUUGAGCAGACAGUAAUCAGGGCCCCGCCAUGAGCCCCGGGAAACAGGCCGCCCCGCGCUAUUUAUAGGCCGGCGCGGAGGACUCGAUACUGUAGUUGCGGAGCUGUGCACGUGAGCUCCUUCGAGGGGAAAAAGGGAGGCACGUUUUAAUGCCGCUUUAUCACAUUUAUCGCAGCAUUAAUCAUUUUGGGAAUGAAGAGAAGAGAGGGAAUUAGGCGUUUGGCCUAAUGUUUCAGCUAGCCAGCUGAUGACCUCAUUUUAUAAUGUUGUGUCUCUAUGAAUGUGGAUCUAAACGUUCGGAUUCAAGUUAGCAUCUGCGUGGACACAAUAAACAAUAAUAGAAGCAACUGAUUGGAAAUGUAACAGCCUGUGAGGACUCACAUGCUGAUUAAUGAAGGACUCAACACAUAUUAUUGGGCUCAACCUGUUAUAAUAAGAUCAUCGCACUCCAUCUUUGAGCUGCUCAAACUGCAAGUAGGUCAGGGAGCGUUUGGCGUGCUAACUAGUUAGCGGUUAGACGCAUUUUGUUCACACAUUUCAGUGAUUCUCUGCAAUCCGGCAGCAAACGUCCUGCAGCAUUAAAUGAAACAUUGUUGGACCUUUAAUUGUUUUACGAUGUUCCUACUGUGGAACAUUUAUUUUUGUGACCCUUUCCCAGGCAUGUGGUAACUGAGCCCGGACUAUCUUUACAUGCCCUCUCAUCGACACAUUUAUUCCCCCCGUCGCUCCCGAUGUCGCCUUCGCCAAAUACUCUCCGUGGGAGCUGCACACCAGUGUCAUUCCCCUUUUUAUUGUCUAAUAUAGUACACUAACCAGUAGGAAGGAGCACUCCAUCAACGUUAUUGACUUUUGUUGCAGUUUGAGCGUAACCCUCGGAGCUGUAUCCGGUGACAACUUCCUCCUCCGGCAGACGCGCGGUAUCAGGUGCAGCUCCUGAACCGCGCGUGAACUUUAACCACAGAGCGAAGGCGGUCAGCAGAAAUCCAUCACACUGACCCUUCAGCAGAGCAGCAGCUGGUCUCAAGCGCAGCAGCCAAGUCGCCCUGACAGCAACGAGCAUUGAUUCAGUUGUUGCUGUGUGUGUGUGUGUGUGAGUGGAUACAAACAGCCGCACACUUAAUGAUGAAUGACUUUGUGAAUCCUCUUCUGGUGGGUCAUCAAGAGGCAUUCAAAUUCCAACCACGACAUCUAACUAAGCAAAUGAUUAUCUGUUGGUCGGGAUGAUUUUGCAUUGGCCUGGAAGUCCUGAGGUUUUGGUUGGCGUGCUAAUGAAUAAAGCCAAUGUUCAUCCUUGAUCCAUUUCAUCCCAAACCACAGACUGUACAUCCUCCGCCCAACCAAUUUUUGAAGGUCACCAACAUCGUUUACUGGACUUGAGGAAAGGCAAUAACAACUUCACUACAACUAGUUGCAUAAUUGUAUUAAAUCUGACAACAGUGACCAA